This is an unclassified non-coding RNA of Pongo abelii (Sumatran orangutan), 147 nucleotides long. It matches the Rfam family "Metazoan signal recognition particle RNA". From Rfam's summary of the family: The signal recognition particle (SRP) is a universally conserved ribonucleoprotein. It is involved in the co-translational targeting of proteins to membranes. The eukaryotic SRP consists of a 300-nucleotide 7S RNA and six proteins: SRPs 72, 68, 54, 19, 14, and 9. NCBI's taxonomy places the organism in Eukaryota, Metazoa, Chordata, Mammalia, Primates, Hominidae. The record is from Ensembl.
GCUAGGUAGAGUGGGGUGCACCUGUAAUCUCAGCUACUGGGAGGCUGAGGUGGGAGGAUCACUUGAGCCCAGGAGGUUGAGGUUGCAGUGAACUAUGACUGUGCCACUGCACUCCAGCCUGGGCAACAGAGUGAUACCCCGUCUGAA